Molecule: ribosomal RNA, 480 nt
Filed under: uncultured bacterium
Lineage: Bacteria
Description: partial 16S ribosomal RNA
Rfam family: Bacterial small subunit ribosomal RNA
Source: RNAcentral
GACGAACGCUGGCGGCGUGCUUAACACAUGCAAGUCGAACGAUGAAGUUCCUUCGGGAAUGGAUUAGUGGCGAACGGGUGAGGAACACGUGAGAAACCUGCCUUUCAUUUUGGGAUAACUCCGGGAAACCGGGGCUAAAACCGAAUACUCCGUCUCGGCGGCAUCGCCGAGCCGGGAAAAAAUUUUGAUGAAAGAUGGUCUCGCGGCCUAUCAGCUAGUUGGUGAGGUAAUGGCUCACCAAGGCAACGACGGGUAGCCGGCCUGAGAGGGCGACCGGCCACACUGGGACUGAGACACGGCCCAGACUCCUACGGGAGGCAGCAGUGGGGAAUAUUGGGCAAUGGGCGCAAGCCUGACCCAGCGACGCCGCGUGAGGGAUGAAGGCCUUCGGGUUGUAAACCUCUUUCAGUAGGGAAGAAGCGAAAGUGACGGUACCUAAAGAAGAAGCACCGACUAACUAUGUGCCAGCCGCCGCGGUAA